RNAcentral lists this ribosomal RNA (669 nucleotides) under uncultured fungus. RNAcentral describes it as "eukaryotic LSU rRNA". It matches the Rfam family "Eukaryotic large subunit ribosomal RNA", at positions 24 to 664 of the family's 3401-position model. The record is from RNAcentral. Lineage: Eukaryota; Fungi.
CCCGCUGAACUUAAGCAUAUCAAUAAGCGGAGGAAAAGAAACUAACAAGGAUUCCCCUAGUAACUGCGAGUGAAGCGGGAAAAGCUCAAAUUUAAAAUCUGGCGGUCUCGCGGCCGUCCGAGUUGUAAUCUGGAGAAGCGUUUAUCCGCGUCGGACCGUGUACAAGUCUUCUGGAAGGGAGCGUCAUAGAGGGUGAGAAUCCCGUCUUUGACACGGACAACCGAUGCUUUUGUGAUGCGCUCUCGAAGAGUCGAGUUGUUUGGGAAUGCAGCUCAAAAUGGGUGGUAAAUUCCAUCUAAAGCUAAAUACAGGCGAGAGACCGAUAGCGAACAAGUACCGUGAGGGAAAGAUGAAAAGAACUUUGGAAAGAGAGUUAAACAGUACGUGAAAUUGCUGAAAGGGAAACGCUUGAUGUCAGUCGCGUCGUCCGGGGAUCAGCCUUGCUCUUUUGCUCGGUGUAUUUCCUGGUCGACGGGUCAGCAUCGGUUUCGACCGUCGGAAAAUGGCUCGAGGAAUGUGGCACUCUUCGGAGUGUGUUAUAGACUCGGGUCGAAUACGGCGAUUGGGACCGAGGAACUCAGCACGACCUUAGGGUUCGGGGCUUCGGCCCACGUCAAUGUGCUUAGGAUGCUGGCAUAAUGGCCUUAAGCGACCCGUCUUGAAACACGG